CUCCGGUUGAUCCCGCCGGACCCGACUGCUAUCAGAGUGGGACUAAGCCAUGCGAGUCAACGCAGCAAUGCGUGGCAUACGGCUCAGUAACACGUAGUCAACAUGCCCAGGGGACGUGGAUAACCUCGGGAAACUGAGGAUAAACCGCGAUAGGCCAAGGUUUCUGGAAUGGAUCAUGGCUGAAACCUACAUGGCCCCUGGAUUGGACUGCGGCCGAUCAGGCUGUUGGUGAGGUAAUGGCCCACCAAACCUGUAACCGGUACGGGCUCUGAGAGGAGGAGCCCGGAGAUGGGCACUGAGACAAGGGCCCAGGCCCUAUGGGGCGCAGCAGGCGCGAAACCUCUGCAAUAGGCGAAAGCUUGACAGGGUUACUCUGAGUGAUGUCCGCUAAGGGCAUCUUUUGGCACUUCUAAAAAUAGUGUAGAAUAAGGGGUGGGCAAGUCUGGUGUCAGCCGCCGCGGUAAUACCAGCACCCCGAGUGGUCGGGACGAUUAUUGGGCCUAAAGCAUCCGUAGCCGGUUCUGCAAGUCUUCCGUUAAAUCCACCUGCUCAACAGAUGGGCUGCGGAGGAUACUACAGGGCUAGGAGGCGGGAGAGGCAAGCGGUACUCAGUGGGUAGGGGUAAAAUCCUCUGAUCCACUGAAGACCACCAGUGGCGAAGGCGGCUUGCCAGAACGCGCUCGACGGUGAGGGAUGAAAGCUGGGGGAGCAAACCGGAUUAGAUACCCGGGUAGUCCCAGAUGUAAACGAUGCAGACUCGGUGAUGGGUUGGCUUCGAGCCAACCCAGUGCCGCAGGGAAGCCGUUAAGUCUGCCGCCUGGGGAGUACGGUCGCAAGACUGAAACUUAAAGGAAUUGGCGGGGGAGCA
RNAcentral lists this ribosomal RNA (868 nucleotides) under uncultured archaeon. Its description in RNAcentral is "bacterial SSU rRNA". It matches the Rfam family "Archaeal small subunit ribosomal RNA", at positions 1 to 878 of the family's 1478-position model. The record is from RNAcentral.